Molecule: transfer RNA, 87 nt
Filed under: Pyramidobacter piscolens W5455
Lineage: Bacteria; Thermotogati; Synergistota; Synergistia; Synergistales; Dethiosulfovibrionaceae
Also listed under: 7 other names
Description: tRNA-Leu
Rfam family: tRNA
About the family: Transfer RNA (tRNA) molecules are approximately 80 nucleotides in length.
Source: RNAcentral
GCCCGGGUGGCGGAAUUGGUAGACGCGCUAGAUUCAGGUUCUAGUGGGCACUAGCCUGUGGGAGUUCGAGUCUCCCCUCGGGCACCA